AGCCGCGGUAAUACGUAGGUGGCAAGCGUUGUCCGGAUUUAUUGGGCGUAAAGCGAGCGCAGGCGGUUCUUUAAGUCUGAUGUGAAAGCCCCCGGCUCAACCGGGGAGGGUCAUUGGAAACUGGAGAACUUGAGUGCAGAAGAGGAGAGUGGAAUUCCAUGUGUAGCGGUGAAAUGCGUAGAUAUAUGGAGGAACACCAGUGGCGAAGGCGAGCACCUGGACUGAUACUGACACUGAGGGUCG
RNAcentral lists this ribosomal RNA (243 nucleotides) under Escherichia coli. RNAcentral describes it as "partial 16S ribosomal RNA". It matches the Rfam family "Bacterial small subunit ribosomal RNA", at positions 513 to 755 of the family's 1533-position model. Lineage: Bacteria; Pseudomonadati; Pseudomonadota; Gammaproteobacteria; Enterobacterales; Enterobacteriaceae. The record is from RNAcentral.